CGGGGUGUAGCGCAGUUGGUAGCGCGCGACUUUUGGGAAGUUGAGGCCGCAGGUUCGAAUCCUGUCACUCCGACCA
This 76-nucleotide transfer RNA is filed under the name Eubacterium sp. Its description in RNAcentral is "tRNA-Pro". It matches the Rfam family "tRNA". Rfam says of the family: Transfer RNA (tRNA) molecules are approximately 80 nucleotides in length. RNAcentral also lists the same sequence under 2 other names. The record is from RNAcentral. Lineage: Bacteria; Bacillati; Bacillota; Clostridia; Eubacteriales; Eubacteriaceae.